CUCUGAUAACCUGUGUUUCGAUACGAAACGGGCCCUGCCUCAUUGUUUGUCAUCUCCCUGGAGGUGACGGAGGGCUGUUUCAACCUCAGGGGAAAAGUUGCUGUACAGAACACAGGCCAGAGUGUGCCCCAAAUAAAUCAGGCGGUGGAGUGAUUUAAAAGUGAUCAUUUUCUGUAGUCCUAGCUACUCGGGAGGCUGAGGCAGGAAAAUCACUUGAACCCGGGAGGCGAAGGAUGCAGUGAGCAGAGAUCGUGCCAUUGCACUUCAGCCUGGCGACAGAGCAAGACUCCGUCUCAAAAAGAAAAAAAAAGUGAUCAUUUUCAUGACUUGGACUAGGAAGAUCAACUGGGCACGGUGAUUCUUGCACAGAUUUUUAUAAGGAUCCUCCAAGUGUAACAACCAUUUGGAAAACUCCGGGCCUCGAGGACAGCCAGAGAAGAUAAGUUCAACUUGCACUUUGCCAGAGCAGGGGAUCUCCCUCAGCUCCCUGCCUUCAAACCUACCUUACAGACCUGCCUGGCCUGCACCUGAGCCACCCUCUUCUUCCUUCCUAUUCCCACUAAGGAGGUGUCCCUGCUUCCUUCAUAGUGGGUCCUUCCCCUGCACCGGGAAACAGGCCCUAGAGAUGACUCCAUGGGGUGAAGGACCAGAGCCUCCUUGCCUCUCUCUGUGUCUCUCUCUCCCUCUCUUGUCUUCCCAUGAAGCUCUGAUGUUUCCAGUACAAAAGAAACCUCGCUCAGUCCCAGUCCUUCUCCAGCUCCUCCCCUCACAAGCAUGGCCCCCCACUGCCGGCUUUCCUUCCCCACCUUCCACCCUCUCCUUGGCCUUCUCCACUCUGGCUUCAGUGGCCUCCGAUGGCUACACUCAGAGCCUGGGUGCACUGUCCUUUGGAAGCUCCCCUCUGGGGCCGCCUGUCAGCCUCCUCUGAAGACUCACGCUCC
This 941-nucleotide non-coding RNA is filed under the name Pan troglodytes (chimpanzee). Lineage: Eukaryota; Metazoa; Chordata; Mammalia; Primates; Hominidae. The record is from RNAcentral.